GGUUAAGCGACUAAGCGUACACGGUGGAUGCCCUGGCAGUCAGAGGCGAUGAAGGGCGUGCUAAUCUGCGAUAAGCGCCGGUAAGGUGAUAUGAACCGUUAUAACCGGCGAUACCCGAAUGGGGAAACCCAGUGUGACUCGUCACACUAUCAUUAACUGAAUCCAUAGGUUAAUGAGGCGAACCGGGGGAACUGAAACAUCUAAGUACCCCGAGGAAAAGAAAUCAACCGAGAUUCCCCCAGUAGCGGCGAGCGAACGGGGAGGAGCCCAGAGCCUGAAUCAGCAUGUGUGUUAGUGGAAGCGUCUGGAAAGGCGCGCGAUACAGGGUGACAGCCCCGUACACAAAAGCGCAUGUGCUGUGAGCUCGAUGAGUAGGGCGGGACACGUGGUAUCCUGUCUGAAUAUGGGGGGACCAUCCUCCAAGGCUAAAUACUCCUGACUGACCGAUAGUGAACCAGUACCGUGAGGGAAAGGCGAAAAGAACCCCGGCGAGGGGAGUGAAAAAGAACCUGAAACCGUGUACGUACAAGCAGUGGGAGCACCCUUUGGGGUGUGACUGCGUACCUUUUGUAUAAUGGGUCAGCGACUUAUAUUCUGUAGCAAGGUUAACCGUAUAGGGGAGCCGGAGGGAAACCGAGUCUUAACCGGGCGUUAAGUUGCAGGGUAUAGACCCGAAACCCGGUGAUCUAGCCAUGGGCAGGUUGAAGGUUGGGUAACACUAACUGGAGGACCGAACCGACUAAUGUUGAAAAAUUAGCGGAUGACCUGUGGCUGGGGGUGAAAGGCCAAUCAAACCGGGAGAUAGCUGGUUCUCCCCGAAAGCUAUUUAGGUAGCGCCUCGUGAAUUCAUCUCCGGGGGUAGAGCACUGUUUCGGCUAGGGGGCCAUCCCGGCUUACCAACCCGAUGCAAACUGCGAAUACCGGAGAAUGUUAUCACGGGAGACACACGGCGGGUGCUAACGUCCGUCGUGAAGAGGGAAACAACCCAGACCGCCAGCUAAGGUCCCAAAGUCAUGGUUAAGUGGGAAACGAUGUGGGAAGGCCCAGACAGCCAGGAUGUUGGCUUAGAAGCAGCCAUCAUUUAAAGAAAGCGUAAUAGCUCACUGGUCGAGUCGGCCUGCGCGGAAGAUGUAACGGGGCUAAACCAUGCACCGAAGCUGCGGCAGCGACACUCAGGUGUUGUUGGGUAGGGGAGCGUUCUGUAAGCCUGUGA
Molecule: ribosomal RNA, 1213 nt
Filed under: Salmonella enterica
Lineage: Bacteria; Pseudomonadati; Pseudomonadota; Gammaproteobacteria; Enterobacterales; Enterobacteriaceae
Description: partial 23S ribosomal RNA
Rfam family: Bacterial large subunit ribosomal RNA
Source: RNAcentral